Molecule: long non-coding RNA, 1109 nt
Filed under: Homo sapiens (human)
Lineage: Eukaryota; Metazoa; Chordata; Mammalia; Primates; Hominidae
Description: HSALNT0297500
Source: RNAcentral
GAUUCACAACAGAAAAUGAGCACAAAACCCCUCUAUAGCCAGAGAGUGAUUGUCUACAAAGUCCUAUGUGGUAGAAAUAAGGCUUUGCCCCAAGGAGCCAUCUGGCUGUGUGCCCUCUCCCACACGCACACUUCCAUUUGGCACACUUAUUGUUAUCCUGUGCUGUGAGGGAACAGAGGUACUGGCCACGGAUCCAUUGCAGAGGAGCCAGCUUAUACUCCCACGGUGCUAGGAAGGAGGCGGGACAGAUGAAAACAUCGAGGCUUAGAGGGGUUUCUGAGUAGCUGAGAAGUCAGGACUUCACACUCCCGAUCUUUCCCCUGGCCUCCAGUUUGCCUGGCAAAGUCACAGGAAGUAUCUCCAUGGCACCGCAUCAGCCCUCACAGAGCAGGAAACCUUGAUUUCUACAGAGGCUGUUUCCUCCCAGCCUUGUGCAAGGCCCACUGCAGAGACAAAAUUAUGGUGGCCAAAGUGUGAAUGCCAAGGCCACACUGGCCUCCAUCCCUGGGAUUUGCUGGUAGAAGAAAGGGAAUCAGCGCUGACUGAGCUCCUACUAUGUGCCCUUCCUGGGCCUGGCACUGGAAUCACAGGAUGAAUGAAUAAGGCAUAUUUCCUGCCCUGAGGAGGCGUCUAUAGGGGAAGUCGGAAUUAAGGCACCUCCAGAAUUCUGAGGUCAAGGGAAUGUCAACAGAGCUGUGAACAAAAUGCCCAAAGCCAUGAAAAUCUACAGAGAGAGACUCGAAGGGGAGGAAUGGGGUAGGAGCUGGUGCCGAGGAUGAGAGGGGAGAAUUCACCUGGUGGAGAACUGAUAGGCCAGGCUGAGGUCGGGAUGGUGGAGGAGGUGGUGGAGGUGAUGAGGUACCAGAGCAACCUCGAAGAAAGCUGAGAGGCAGGAGACCGCCAAAGGCAAACUUGGAACACCUGGUGACUCCGACUAACUCUCCAUGUGGUGUCCUUGAGGACUUUUAUGAUACUGCUACCACUGCUAAUAGUAAUAAAAGCCACUAUUUAAUGUGUUUACUAUGCGCUGGGUGUGCAAAUAUUGUGGAAAGAGUGAACAUAUGUGCAGAAUGCUUAAUAAACGUGAUCUCCUUUUAUCUUCAAAAGAA